GUGAACAAGUACCGUGAGGGAAAACUUUAAAUUUUUGUUUUGAAACUGAUUGUUACUUUAGCAGUUAAUUUUUUGAAUUUACGUACCUUUUGCAUAAUGGGUCAGCAAGUUAUUUUAUAUAGCGGGCUCUUUUUUAUACUAAGGCUUAGCGAAGGCGAGUUUUAAUCAGCUACUAGUUAUAUGAGGUAGACCCGAAACCAGGUGAUCUAACCUUGAGCAGGCUGCAAUUAACGCCUUGUUAAUGAAGGGCCGCACCCGUACUUGUUGCAAUAAGUUGGGAAGACUCGAGGUUAGCGGUGAAAUGCUAAUCGAACUUGGAGAUAGCUGGUUCUCUGCGAAACCUAUUUAAGUAGGGGGUUUUUUUGUUUUCUUUCUGGUAGAGCUCUAUUUUAAUGCUUAAUUGUUUUGAUAAUCUAGCUAAUGGUUGGAAAAAUCUAAAAGCACUCAGACCGUGGGCUCAAAGGUUCAUAGGUCAAAAGGGAUACAGCCCAGAAUCAUAGCUAAGUUUCUUUUUUUUCUGCCAGUGUUUUAAAAAGGCGACAAC
RNAcentral lists this ribosomal RNA (544 nucleotides) under Dehalococcoidia bacterium. Its description in RNAcentral is "partial 23S ribosomal RNA". It matches the Rfam family "Bacterial large subunit ribosomal RNA", at positions 490 to 1082 of the family's 2925-position model. Lineage: Bacteria; Bacillati; Chloroflexota; Dehalococcoidia. The record is from RNAcentral.